CCAGUCGGCCGGACGGCCGCGGCUGCUAUGCUCGAAAGGGUGCAGUCGAGGAAAGUCCGGGCUCCACGCGGAUACGGCGGCGGAUAACAUCCGCCGAGAGUGAUCUUAGGGAUAGCGCCACAGAGAACAGUCUGCCGAAAGCGCCUUGGUCGAAAGGCCAUGGGCGCAGGCGAUGGUGAAACGGUGGAGUAAGAGCCCACCGCCGCGACCGUAAGGAAGCGGGCACGGCAAGCCCCGCCGGGAGCAAGACCGAAUAGGGAUGCACGCCCUCCGAUGCCUUGGCGGAGGAGGGCAGCUCGUCCGUGAGCGCGCAUCCGGGUAGGUCGCGAGAACCAUGCGGCGACGCAUGGUCCAGAGGAAUGGUCGUCGCCGCGCAAGCGGUACAGAACCCGGCUUACAGGCCGACUGGCGUU
RNAcentral lists this RNase P RNA (413 nucleotides) under Pseudomonadota bacterium. RNAcentral describes it as "Proteobacteria bacterium (activated sludge metagenome) RNase P RNA component class A". It matches the Rfam family "Bacterial RNase P class A". From Rfam's summary of the family: Ribonuclease P (RNase P) is a ubiquitous endoribonuclease, found in archaea, bacteria and eukarya as well as chloroplasts and mitochondria. Its best characterised activity is the generation of mature 5'-ends of tRNAs by cleaving the 5'-leader elements of precursor-tRNAs. Cellular RNase Ps are ribonucleoproteins. Lineage: Bacteria; Pseudomonadati; Pseudomonadota. The record is from RNAcentral.